RNAcentral lists this transfer RNA (73 nucleotides) under Trebonia kvetii. It matches the Rfam family "tRNA". From Rfam's summary of the family: Transfer RNA (tRNA) molecules are approximately 80 nucleotides in length. Their secondary structure includes four short double-helical elements and three loops (D, anti-codon, and T loops). Further hydrogen bonds mediate the characteristic L-shaped molecular structure. tRNAs have two regions of fundamental functional importance: the anti-codon, which is responsible for specific mRNA codon recognition, and the 3' end, to which the tRNAs corresponding amino acid is attached (by aminoacyl-tRNA synthetases). tRNAs cope with the degeneracy of the genetic code in two manners: having more than one tRNA (with a specific anti-codon) for a particular amino acid; and 'wobble' base-pairing, i.e. permitting non-standard base-pairing at the 3rd anti-codon position. RNAcentral also lists the same sequence under 1 other name. The record is from Rfam by way of RNAcentral. Lineage: Bacteria; Bacillati; Actinomycetota; Actinomycetes; Streptosporangiales; Treboniaceae.
GCCCCGAUAGCUCAGUGGAUAGAGCGACCGCCUCCUAAGCGGUAGGUCCCGGGUUCGAGUCCCGGUUGGGGCG